Molecule: long non-coding RNA, 1449 nt
Filed under: Anser cygnoides (Swan goose)
Lineage: Eukaryota; Metazoa; Chordata; Aves; Anseriformes; Anatidae
Description: lncRNA (ENSACDG00005018929.1)
Source: RNAcentral
CUUUUUUUUUUUUUUUCCUCCCCCCUCGCCCGUCCUUGGCACGGCGCAGAAGCCCCCAAGCACCCCAAAAAAUAAACCCCCCCAAAACCCCAACCCUUCCCAAGCGGCCCCGGCCCCGCUGUAGGGCCGGAUCCCUCCCCACUCACCAUUUGCUUUUCAUUGGGAAAAGUGAGUGGAGCCAUUUUGUGGCCUACGCGUCGCGGCUAUAUUUGUAGUAAGUGUUGGGUGGCUUCAGCUGGGUAGGCUCUAAUUCCACAUCACGUCCAGUUUCCUAUUUAGUAUGGAGAGCGGAACACUACUGCAAUGUGGCCGAGAGAGAUAAAACCCCAGCAGUGGCCCGCCUGCCCUGAUAAGCUUCUAAACCCAUUAUUUAUGAAAUGAUUCAUUAUUAUUUGGCAAUUUUAUCGAAGGAAAGCGGAAAAUUAUUGCAGGGAUAUGCAUAGGAAUAACUCCGGAAUGCAUGCCUUCUAGCUUUUUAUGUGUGUGUGCUUAGAUGCUCUUAAAAAGACACUGGGAAAAAAAAAAAAAAAAAAGAGGAGUAAUAAAAAAUUGCGCUGUGCCUGCCCGCAUCUGAAUAGCAAUUCUUUAUUUUAGUCCUCUUGGAGGUUAUUAUGCCCCUGCAUAUUUUUUUUUUUGAUUAAAUAUGGAACACCUACUCCGUUCUUAAUUAAAUUUAAUGAGCCAAAAUAAAUUGUUGGAGAUGCUGAGAGAGAGAGGGAAGGGGUGUGGGCUGCUCUGGGACGAGAGGAGGUAAAUAAAGCACGCGGAGAGGAGAUGUUUCGGAGAGCAGUGGCCCCGUCCCCACCUUCCUCCCCUCGGUGUCUUCGCGAAAAUUGGGGCCGGCUCCUUCUUAAUGCUGGGGAGGAGGGGACGGGGAAGCCGGGGGGAGCCCGGCCUUGGGAAAUUUGGGAUGUGAGCGGCGGGGAGUUGUGCCAAGCCCGGAGGAGAAGGGCUCGGGGAAGGGGGAAAGGAGCCCUGGGGGUGCGCGGGGCUCGGCACCGGCAGCGCGCCCCGUCGGGGACGGGCGGCUCUCGGUGCGCUGGGGGAGGCGGGCGGCGGAAAAUCAACGAAAUCGCUGAAAAUGAGGAACGGGGGGGCCGGGACCGGGGACUGAGGCGUAACGGGAAGGGCCCCGAUCCCUUCUGCGGGGACCCCGGGGCCGGAGCCCGCAGCGGCCGCACCUGCCGGCGGCCGGCGAAGGGGGCGGCGGGGCCGGGGGCGGCGGGGUCGCUAUUGUGUGCCCGCCACCUGCACGGCCCCGGCCGGGGGGGUGCGGGAAAUCGCGGGGCUGUUUUUCUUCCUUUCACUCCUUCCCCUCAGCCUCCCGCUCUGGAUGCGGCCGUGGGAGAGGUUUCGCCCCGGCUCCCCCCCCAGCCCCCCCCCGGGAAGAGCUCGGGUAGCGGCCCCCGGGGGCAGCCGUCACGCAGAAACCAGGCUGCCAGAUUGUAA